GUGGUCGGUUCGGCAGUGCAUGUACUGAAAAUGGAACGAUACAGAGAAGAUUAGUGCGGCCCCUGAGCAAGGAUGCCACGCAAAUUGUGCAGCGUUCCAUAUUUCC
Small nuclear RNA from Pseudophryne corroboree (corroboree frog), 106 nucleotides. Lineage: Eukaryota; Metazoa; Chordata; Amphibia; Anura; Myobatrachidae. The record is from RefSeq and is a predicted model, not a curated record.